RNAcentral lists this ribosomal RNA (546 nucleotides) under uncultured bacterium. RNAcentral describes it as "partial 16S ribosomal RNA". It matches the Rfam family "Bacterial small subunit ribosomal RNA", at positions 355 to 912 of the family's 1533-position model. The record is from RNAcentral.
UGGGGAAUAUUGCACAAUGGGCGAAAGCCUGAUGCAGCGACGCCGCGUGAGGGAUGACGGCCUUCGGGUUGUAAACCUCUUUCAGCAGGGAAGAAGCGAAAGCGACGGUACCUGCAGAAGAAGCGCCGGCUAACUACGUGCCAGCAGCCGCGGUAAUACGUAGGGCGCAAGCGUUGUCCGGAAUUAUUGGGCGUAAAGAGCUCGUAGGCGGUUAGUCGCGUCUGCUGUGAAAACUCGAGGCUCAACCUCGGGCUUGCAGUGGGUACGGGCUGACUAGAGUGCGGUAGGGGUGACUGGAAUUCCUGGUGUAGCGGUGGAAUGCGCAGAUAUCAGGAGGAACACCGAUGGCGAAGGCAGGUCACUGGGCCGCAACUGACGCUGAGGAGCGAAAGCAUGGGGAGCGAACAGGAUUAGAUACCCUGGUAGUCCAUGCCGUAAACGUUGGGCACUAGGUGUGGGUCCAUUCCACGGAUUCCGUGCCGCAGCAAACGCAUUAAGUGCCCCGCCUGGGGAGUACGGCCGCAAGGCUAAAACUCAAAUGAAUUG